CACACGACUCUCGGCAACGGAUAUCUCGGCUCUCGCAUCGAUGAAGAACGUAGCGAAAUGCGAUACCUGGUGUGAAUUGCAGAAUCCCGCGAACCAUCGAGUCUUUGAACGCAAGUUGCGCCCGAGGCCAUCCGGCNGAGGGCACGCCUGCCUGGGCGUCACA
RNAcentral lists this ribosomal RNA (163 nucleotides) under Koeleria spicata. RNAcentral's name for it is "5.8S ribosomal RNA". It matches the Rfam family "5.8S ribosomal RNA". From Rfam's summary of the family: 5.8S ribosomal RNA (5.8S rRNA) is a component of the large subunit of the eukaryotic ribosome. It is transcribed by RNA polymerase I as part of the 45S precursor that also contains 18S and 28S rRNA. The record is from RNAcentral. Lineage: Eukaryota; Viridiplantae; Streptophyta; Magnoliopsida; Poales; Poaceae.